GAGACAGCAGUAGCCGCGGUAAUACGAAGGGUGCAAGCGUUACUCGGAAUUACUGGGCGUAAAGCGUGCGUAGGUGGUGGUUUAAGUCCGUUGUGAAAGCCCUGGGCUCAACCUGGGAAUUGCAGUGGAUACUGGGUCACUAGAGUGUGGUAGAGGAUAGUGGAAUUUCCGGUGUAGCAGUGAAAUGCGUAGAGAUCGGAAGGAACAUCUGUGGCGAAGGCGACUAUCUGGGCCAACACUGACACUGAGGCACGAAAGCGUGGGGAGCAAACAGGAUUAGAGACCCCUGUAGUCCCUGUCUCUUAUAC
This 308-nucleotide ribosomal RNA is filed under the name uncultured bacterium. RNAcentral's name for it is "partial 16S ribosomal RNA". It matches the Rfam family "Bacterial small subunit ribosomal RNA", at positions 505 to 807 of the family's 1533-position model. The record is from RNAcentral.